Molecule: unclassified non-coding RNA, 361 nt
Filed under: uncultured Rozellomycota
Lineage: Eukaryota; Fungi; Rozellomycota
Description: uncultured Cryptomycota sequence contains ITS1
Rfam family: 5.8S ribosomal RNA (bases 1-97)
Source: RNAcentral
AAAGUGCGAAACGUAGUGCGAUUUGCAUGAAUCUGUGAGUCAUCUAAUCUUUGAACGCAACUUGCGCCUCGCGAGAGGCAUGUCUGUUUGAGUGCUGCGACAACAUGUACGUACUGUACACGCGCGGUUCGUCCGUGAGUGUGCGACUUGGCUGUGCUGCUGCUGCGCUUGCGCGUGCGUGGCUUGGCCUAAAAGCAGUAUGACCGUUGCGGCCAUUGCUGGGCCUGCCCGAGUGCCAAGCAUUCUUGGAGCGGGCCUGUGCCAGUGGAGCGGCUUCUUUUCUCCUCUACUUGGAGCAGCAAAGAAGCGCUACUCUCUAUACCACGGCCUCAAAUCAGGCAAGACUACCCGCCGAACUUAA